This 468-nucleotide ribosomal RNA is filed under the name uncultured bacterium. RNAcentral's name for it is "partial 16S ribosomal RNA". It matches the Rfam family "Bacterial small subunit ribosomal RNA", at positions 28 to 507 of the family's 1533-position model. The record is from RNAcentral.
GACGAACGCUGGCGGCGUGCUUAACACAUGCAAGUCGAACGGAAAGGCCCUGCUUUUGUGGGGUGCUCGAGUGGCGAACGGGUGAGUAACACGUGAGUAACCUGCCCUUGACUUUGGGAUAACUUCAGGAAACUGGGGCUAAUACCGGAUAGGAGCUCCUGCUGCAUGGUGGGGGUUGGAAAGUUUCGGCGGGUGGGGAUGGACUCGCGGCUUAUCAGCUUGUUGGUGGGGUAGUGGCUUACCAAGGCUUUGACGGGUAGCCGGCCUGAGAGGGUGACCGGCCACUUUGGGACUGAGAUACGGCCCAGACUCCUACGGGAGGCAGCAGUGGGGAAUAUUGCACAAUGGGCGGAGGCUGGAUGAAGCAACGCCGCGUGCGGGAUGACGGCCUUCGGUUUGUAACCCGAUUUCGCCUGUGACGAAGCGUGAGUGACGGUAAUGGGUAAAGAAGCACCGGCUAACUACGUG